GACGAACGCUGGCGGCGUGCUUAACACAUGCAAGUCGAACGGAAAGGCCCUGCUUUUGUGGGGUGCUCGAGUGGCGAACGGGUGAGUAACACGUGAGUAACCUGCCCUUGACUUUGGGAUAACUUCAGGAAACUGGGGCUAAUACCGGAUAGGAGCUCCUGCUGCAUGGUGGGGGUUGGAAAGUUUCGGCGGUUGGGGAUGGACUCGCGGCUUAUCAGCUUGUUGGUGGGGUAGUGGCUUACCAAGGCUUUGACGGGUAGCCGGCCUGAGAGGGUGACCGGCCACAUUGGGACUGAGAUGCGGCCCAGACUCCUACGGGAGGCAGCAGUGGGGAAUAUUGCACAAUGGGCGGAAGCCUGAUGCAGCAACGCCGCGUGCGGGAUGACGGCCUUCGGGUUGUAAACCGCUUUCGCCUGUGACGAAGCGUGAGUGACGGUAAUGGGUAAAGAAGCACCGGCUAACUACGUGCCAGCAGCCGCGGUGAUACGUAGGGUGCGAGCGUUGUCCGGAUUUAUUGGGCGUAAAGGGCUCGUAGGUGGUUGAUCGCGUCGGAAGUGUAAUCUUGGGGCUUAACCCUGAGCGUGCUUUCGAUACGGGUUGACUUGAGGAAGGUAGGGGAGAAUGGAAUUCCUGGUGGAGCGGUGGAAUGCGCAGAUAUCAGGAGGAACGCCAGUGGCGAAGGCGGUUCUCUGGGCCUUUCCUGACGCUGAGGAGCGAAAGCGUGGGGAGCGAACAGGCUUAGAUACCCUGGUAGUCCACGCUGUAAACGGUGGGUACUAGGUGUGGGGUCCAUUCCACGGGUUCCGUGCCGUAGCUAACGCUUUAAGUACCCCGCCUGGGGAGUACGGCCGCAAGGCUAAAACUCAAAGGAAUUGACGGGGCCCCGCACAAGCGGCGGAGCAUGCGGAUUAAUUCGAUGCAACGCGUAGAACCUUACCUGGGUUUGACAUGGAUCGGGAGUGCUCAGAGAUGGGUGUGCCUCUUUUGGGGUCGGUUCACAGGUGGUGCAUGGCUGUCGUCAGCUCGUGUCGUGAGAUGUUGGGUUAAGUCCCGCAACGAGCGCAACCCUUGUUCACUGUUGCCAGCACGUUAUGGUGGGGACUCAGUGGAGACCGCCGGGGUCAACUCGGAGGAAGGUGGGGAUGACGUCAAGUCAUCAUGCCCCUUAUGUCCAGGGCUUCACGCAUGCUACAAUGGCUGGUACAGAGAGUGGCGAGCCUGUGAGGGUGAGCGAAUCUCGGAAAGCCGGUCUCAGUUCGGAUUAGGGUCUGCAACUCGACCUCAUGAAGUCGGAGUCGCUAGUAAUCGCAGAUCAGCAACGCUGCGGUGAAUACGUUCCCGGGGCU
Molecule: ribosomal RNA, 1346 nt
Filed under: uncultured bacterium
Lineage: Bacteria
Description: partial 16S ribosomal RNA
Rfam family: Bacterial small subunit ribosomal RNA
Source: RNAcentral